RNAcentral lists this transfer RNA (72 nucleotides) under Pseudocohnilembus persalinus. It matches the Rfam family "tRNA". From Rfam's summary of the family: Transfer RNA (tRNA) molecules are approximately 80 nucleotides in length. Their secondary structure includes four short double-helical elements and three loops (D, anti-codon, and T loops). Further hydrogen bonds mediate the characteristic L-shaped molecular structure. tRNAs have two regions of fundamental functional importance: the anti-codon, which is responsible for specific mRNA codon recognition, and the 3' end, to which the tRNAs corresponding amino acid is attached (by aminoacyl-tRNA synthetases). tRNAs cope with the degeneracy of the genetic code in two manners: having more than one tRNA (with a specific anti-codon) for a particular amino acid; and 'wobble' base-pairing, i.e. permitting non-standard base-pairing at the 3rd anti-codon position. The record is from Rfam by way of RNAcentral. Lineage: Eukaryota; Ciliophora; Oligohymenophorea; Philasterida; Pseudocohnilembidae.
CGGAAGAUAGUUAAAUUGGUAGAAUAUCUGGUCCUAACCCAGAAGAUGUAGGUUCAAGUCCUCCUCUUCCGA